Molecule: RNase P RNA, 437 nt
Filed under: Croceibacterium atlanticum
Lineage: Bacteria; Pseudomonadati; Pseudomonadota; Alphaproteobacteria; Sphingomonadales; Erythrobacteraceae
Description: Altererythrobacter atlanticus Bacterial RNase P class A
Rfam family: Bacterial RNase P class A
About the family: Ribonuclease P (RNase P) is a ubiquitous endoribonuclease, found in archaea, bacteria and eukarya as well as chloroplasts and mitochondria. Its best characterised activity is the generation of mature 5'-ends of tRNAs by cleaving the 5'-leader elements of precursor-tRNAs.
Source: Rfam by way of RNAcentral
CCGGGGAGCCGGGCAGCCGCGUGCUUCGACAAGCUCGGAAGAGCAGGUCGGGGGCGAGGAAAGUCCGGGCUCCACGAAACGAGGGUGGCGGGUAACGCCCGCCGGGUACGGGGCUUGCACCCGGGCCCAGGGAAAGUGCCACAGAGAAUAUACCGCCGAUGGAGCGUGAAGCUCACAGGCAAGGGUGAAAAGGUGCGGCAAGGGCGCACCGGGGGGCCGGCAACGGUCACCGCAUGGCAAACCCCACCCGGAGCAAGACCGAAUAGGGGCGGCGCGUCGGUUUCGUGCCGGCAGGCGUGUUUCGCGUCAGUCGCCCGGGUUGGUUGCUAGAGCGGCCUGGCAACAGGUCGCCCAGAUGAAUGGCUGCCACCGCGGAUACGGUCCCGCAUGGGAUACCGUCCGCGGUACAGAACCCGGCUUACAGGCUCCCCGGCACA